UUGCAUUUUCAAUAAGCGGAGGAAAAGAAACCAACCGGGAUUGCCUUAGUAACGGCGAGUGAAGCGGCAAAAGCUCAAAUUUGAAAUCUGGUACCUUCGGUGCCCGAGUUGUAAUUUGGAGAGGGCAACUUUGGGGCCGUUCCUUGUCUAUGUUCCUUGGAACAGGACGUCAUAGAGGGUGAGAAUCCCGUGUGGCGAGGAGUGCGGUUCUUUGUAAAGUGCCUUCGAAGAGUCGAGUUGUUUGGGAAUGCAGCUCUAAGUGGGUGGUAAAUUCCAUCUAAAGCUAAAUAUUGGCGAGAGACCGAUAGCGAACAAGUACAGUGAUGGAAAGAUGAAAAGAACUUUGAAAAGAGAGUGAAAAAGUACGUGAAAUUGUUGAAAGGGAAGGGCAUUUGAUCAGACAUGGUGUUUUGUGCCCUCUGCUCCUUGUGGGUAGGGGAAUCUCGCAUUUCACUGGGCCAGCAUCAGUUUUGGUGGCAGGAUAAAUCCAUAGGAAUGUAGCUUGCCUCGGUAAGUAUUAUAGCCUGUGGGAAUACUGCCAGCUGGGACUGAGGACUGCGACGUAAGUCAAGGAUGCUGGCAUAAUGGUUAUAUGCCGCCCGUCUUGAAACCACA
Molecule: ribosomal RNA, 615 nt
Filed under: Saccharomyces cerevisiae (brewer's yeast)
Lineage: Eukaryota; Fungi; Ascomycota; Saccharomycetes; Saccharomycetales; Saccharomycetaceae
Description: eukaryotic LSU rRNA
Rfam family: Eukaryotic large subunit ribosomal RNA
Source: RNAcentral